RNAcentral lists this unclassified non-coding RNA (269 nucleotides) under Dactylella heptameres. RNAcentral describes it as "partial internal transcribed spacer region". The stretch from base 1 to 46 matches the Rfam family "Eukaryotic small subunit ribosomal RNA", at positions 1786 to 1831 of the family's 1831-position model. The record is from RNAcentral. Lineage: Eukaryota; Fungi; Ascomycota; Orbiliomycetes; Orbiliales; Orbiliaceae. RNAcentral also lists the same sequence under 1 other name.
AAGUCGUAACAAGGUUUCCGUAGGUGAACCUGCGGAAGGAUCAUUAAACAACUAAUAGUCUUUUACAAAACUAUAUCAACCCUUUGUGAACCAAAAAACCUUUUCGCUUCGGUAGCAGGCUUGGUUGCGUGCGGUUUGAAAAAACCAAGCGCUCUCAAGCUGUCAGCCUGCCGGCAGCACCAAACAUAAACCUGUUUUAAAACUAUUGUCUGAACAGAAUCAUUUUCGAAUGAAAAUUAAAACUUUCAACAACGGAUCUCUUGGUUCUC